AAAAACACUUAUGUAAUGAUGAAUUUUGUGCGUGGACAAGUGAAACGUAAAUGUACUUGUCCAAAGGACAAGUGCCUCAAAAAGUUAAUGUCAAGCCCUGCUGUCUGUAUUUAGGCAGUAGUAAUAUCACAUUAUGAUCUGACAGACCAAGGGCAGGACGGGGCUCGGAUACAUAUGCACCUGGAAUGUUUCCAAAAC
Long non-coding RNA from Sander lucioperca (pikeperch), 198 nucleotides. RefSeq lists it as uncharacterized. The record is from RefSeq and is a predicted model, not a curated record. Lineage: Eukaryota; Metazoa; Chordata; Actinopteri; Perciformes; Percidae. The transcript has 3 exons.